CAGUAGCCGCGGUAAUACGUAGGUGGCGAGCGUUGUCCGGAAUCAUUGGGCGUAAAGGGAGCGCAGGCGGGCAUGUAAGUCUUUCUUAAAAGUGCGGGGCUCAACCCCGUGAUGGGAAAGAAACUAUGUGUCUUGAGUACAGGAGAGGAAAGCGGAAUUCCCAGUGUAGCGGUGAAAUGCGUAGAUAUUGGGAGGAACACCAGUGGCGAAGGCGGCUUUCUGGACUGUAACUGACGCUGAGGCUCGAAAGCCAGGGGAGCGAACGGGAUUAGAUACCCCUGUAGUCCCUGUCUCUUAUACC
This 301-nucleotide ribosomal RNA is filed under the name uncultured bacterium. RNAcentral describes it as "partial 16S ribosomal RNA". It matches the Rfam family "Bacterial small subunit ribosomal RNA", at positions 509 to 808 of the family's 1533-position model. The record is from RNAcentral.